AUGCUGGCUUCAACAGCACAUAAACUAAAAUUGGAAUGAUACAGAGAAGAUUAACACGGCCACUGUGUAAGGAUGCCACACAAAUUUGUGAAGUACUCCAUAUUUCC
Cynocephalus volans (Philippine flying lemur) is the source of this 107-nucleotide small nuclear RNA. NCBI's taxonomy places the organism in Eukaryota, Metazoa, Chordata, Mammalia, Dermoptera, Cynocephalidae. The record is from RefSeq and is a predicted model, not a curated record.